GGAUCAGCGUAUCUAGCUCUGUGUGGAGCCUCAUGGUGUGUGGUGCCUACGUGCGUGGUCAUCAGAGAUUUUUGCCUUAACAGUAUCCAUAGGGCCUGCUGUGGCACUCCCUAGAGUGCCGCACGCAUACCGUGGUAUAUCAGAUGCCAUUGGCUCUAUGCGCUCUUGGUUCCAUCUUGCCGACAUCUCCAACAGAGGGGUAGGAGGGCAGGCAAUGGAACGAACAUGAAAAACACAUCUCAAAAGACAAUAGUUACGAAAGGGCUGAAGAGAAACCAUUCUGAAGCCAAUACUGGAUGCUUUAUAAAAUACCACUCUAAAUAUCUUUAGGACAAAUAUGGUUGAAUAUGUGUAUGUCUUGUGUCAUCUGUUACCUGCAAAAA
Long non-coding RNA from Chelonoidis abingdonii (Abingdon island giant tortoise), 383 nucleotides. RefSeq lists it as uncharacterized. Lineage: Eukaryota; Metazoa; Chordata; Testudines; Testudinidae. The record is from RefSeq and is a predicted model, not a curated record.